CAGCAGCCGCGGGAAUACGGAGGGAGCUAGCGUUGUUCGGAAUUACUGGGCGUAAAGCGCGCGUAGGCGGUUACUCAAGUCAGAGGUGAAAGCCCGGGGCUCAACCCCGGAACUGCCUUUGAAACUAGGUGACUAGAAUCUUGGAGAGGUCAGUGGAAUUCCGAGUGUAGAGGUGAAAUUCGUAGAUAUUCGGAAGAACACCAGUGGCGAAGGCGACUGACUGGACAAGUAUUGACGCUGAGGUGCGAAAGCGUGGGGAGCAAACAGGAUUAGAUACCCCUGUAGUCCCUGUCUCUUAUAA
RNAcentral lists this ribosomal RNA (301 nucleotides) under uncultured bacterium. Its description in RNAcentral is "partial 16S ribosomal RNA". It matches the Rfam family "Bacterial small subunit ribosomal RNA", at positions 509 to 809 of the family's 1533-position model. The record is from RNAcentral.